GCUGUGACGGUAUAGUGGUUAUUACAUUGCGUUGUGGCCGCAAUGACCCAGGUUCGAUUCCUGGUCACGGCA
Molecule: transfer RNA, 72 nt
Filed under: Paramuricea clavata
Lineage: Eukaryota; Metazoa; Cnidaria; Anthozoa; Malacalcyonacea; Plexauridae
Rfam family: tRNA
About the family: Transfer RNA (tRNA) molecules are approximately 80 nucleotides in length. Their secondary structure includes four short double-helical elements and three loops (D, anti-codon, and T loops).
Source: Rfam by way of RNAcentral